CAAAUAAAAUUCAUAUAAAUAUAUUAUGAUAGAUUUUAUAAAAGCUGGUAAUAGAGAAAAUUUUUAUUUAUUUUUAGGAGGUUAAUGACCUCCGCAAAUUGCAACACAUUCUUCUCUUCCAAAUCACGUGUUUCCUUCCAAAUCAGAAUCUUUCCCUUUCACUCUAAAACCUAACUUCAGAGUGUUCCGCUCCGCGAUUAAGCCAUGUUGUAACAGCGAUCUUCGUCGCGCCAACUCGGCCGUGCCGUCUCCGUCGCGCUAGCUCUGCCGCGUCGUCUCCGUAGCGCCAGCUCUGCCGCGUCGUCUCCGUCGCGCCAGCUCGCCGCGUCGUCUCCGUCGCGUCAGCUCCGUCCCGCGGUCUUCAUCGCGCCAGCUUCGUCGAAAACCUAAGUUCAGAGUGGCAAUCGAUUCCGCUCCGCGAUUAAGCCAUGUCGUAGCCUCUGUUGCAGCGAUCUUCGUCGCGCCAGUUUCGUCUUGUGGUCUUUUGAGAGGACAUGGUGUGGGUCCUUUUGGUUUGAGACUUUUGGUGUGGGUUCGAUGCAUGAAUUCUCUCAGUUUUUAGUUCUUCAGUUUGAACUUGUUCACAAUGGUCGAGGUUCACAUUAUUUUAUUGUGUUCCAGCAAUUUAAUGUUUGCUUUUGUUAGCCAGGCAGAGCUAGCAGUUUCUGAAUUUUCUGGAAAUGGUGCUGGAAUACUAUCUACUGCUAGCACAGCUGCCAGUACUUUUCUCUUAGUUUUUGUCUCCGAAUGGGGUGAUAAGUCAUUUUUCUCCACAAUUGCCCUUGCAGCUGCCUCUUCUCCCUUUGGAGUCAUUGCUGGAGCACUGGCGGGUCAUGGUGUUGCAACUUUGCUCGUAAAGCACCGGAAAUAAGGCUAUGCUAUCUGGAGAAGACCUUAUGUUUUGGAAGAGUCUAAUUCAUCUAGCUGUACUCGGGGGCUCUUUACUUGGAACGUAUUUAUCAGAGAAGCUGUCAAUGGACUCAUCACCUAAUCUCAACUAGCAUCCUGGUUUUAUUCUCUAUCUCUUUAUUCAUUUGUCAUUUGUCAUGUUUAUGUGGCCUAUAUUAUUAAAACUAGCAUUAUUUGUGUGGCCUACAUAGAAGAACAACUACCAUUUGUGUGGCCUAUAUUAUUAUGCAGAAAAUUUAAAAACUGUUCUAAUGUAUAUUCUAAUACUAAAACUUACAAAACACUAUUAUAACAAUGAUAACAAACCUAAAUUGCCCUUUAGAAACUAUUAUUAAAAUUAUCUACUCUCUAGAAUUAUAACAGCAAAAUAAAAAAAUGCACUUAUGAAACAAAAAACACCAAAACUAAAACUGCAGCAAAACAAAGCAAGUAAAAUAAAACUAAUUUUCUAUCUCUAACUAGCUCUAAACUAAACUAAACAACUUCAUAUUCACUAAACUAUCUAAUUAGAUAAAAUGAGGGCUCUGUGAAAUGUGUGAAUGUGCUAAGGGUUUCACUUUCAUAUAUAGAGACAAACAUUAGAGAUUGAUCUAAAAAAUGUUUCUGUUUCUGGUUUCAUUCUGCUCUCAUUUGGUCACGUGAUAUUAUGAUUAAGCAGCAUGAUAUAGUAAUAAUCAUCCACCAUAUUAUAUAUACUUACACAUGCAUCACUCCAAUCAUACAAAAAAAGUGUACCAGAUCAUUUUUGUUGUAGCCUCCAUCAUUGAGUAUUUUCUUCUUCUUCAUGUUCUUGUGGUGUUUAGCAGAUUUUUGUGCAGUUGUAGAACUUUCUGGAGUGGACAAAUUGCAGCACCAUUUCCAUUUGGUUCUGCACCUUUUAUUGGCUUUCCACUGAGUGUUAUUAUGUUGACACGGCUGCUUCUCCCAGUGCUGACAUGGCUACUUGAGGGUAUGGAUUUUCAUAAACAGGAAUCACAAAUUAGUGAGUUCUCAUUAAUAUGAAAUUGAAGGAGCAAUAUUUGGUAGUCACUUCUGAGAAGGUAAUUAAGUUUCAAUAAACCAUGAUUCUUUAAGGAAUUGGUACAGUUCUCCCAUGCAUUCUUUAAGGAUUUAAGCAUUGCUUCAUCUAGUGCUGCCACAUCAUCAACAUCUUCUGAUCAGUGGCAACAGAAAUACACUAAUUUAGAAUCCCAAAUUCAAACCAUCUUGGGUGCACUAAAAGCCUACAUGAUAACGAAGGAAGGAAAGAUCCCUGAUGAAUUAACUGCCUUCUUUGAUCCUCAACCACAACAAACUGGUGAUGCAAAUGAGCCUGAGUCUUCUAUGGGUACAAGAGGAUCAUCUGGUGGUAGCAACAUUUAGGGUGUUGAUGUUUUUUAGGAUGAAACUAUUUUAGUGUAUUAUGAACUUUGAGUAAGUAUGGAUUAAGUUGUAAUUGUUUCAAUUUAAAUUGCUUUUAUGUUAAUAUGUUGAUUUUGAGAAUCAAAAGUUCUAAUGAUAUAUAUUUGAGCACUUUGG
This is an unclassified non-coding RNA of Vigna unguiculata (cowpea), 2427 nucleotides long. Lineage: Eukaryota; Viridiplantae; Streptophyta; Magnoliopsida; Fabales; Fabaceae. The record is from RefSeq and is a predicted model, not a curated record.